AUUGAACGCUGGCGGCAGUCCUAACACAUGCAAGUCGAACGAGUGGCGCACGAGUGAGUAAUGUCUGGAAAACUGCCCGAUGGAGGGGGAUAACUACUGGAAACGGUAGCUAAUACCGCAUACCAUCGGAUGUGCCCAGAUUGGAUUAGCUAGUAGGUGGGGUAACGGCUCACCUAGGCGACGAUCCCUAGAUGGUCUGAGAGGAUGACCAGGCAAACUGGAACGGAGACAAGGUCCAGACUCCUACGGGAGGCAUCAGUGGGGAAUAUUGAACAAUGGGCGAAAGCCUGAUGCAGCCAUGCCGCGUGUAUGAAGAAGGCCUUCGGGUUGUAAAGUACUUUCAGCGGGUAGGCGUUACCCGCAGAAGAAGCACCGGCUAACUCCGUGCCAGCAGCCGCGGUAAUUC
RNAcentral lists this ribosomal RNA (406 nucleotides) under uncultured bacterium. RNAcentral's name for it is "partial 16S ribosomal RNA". It matches the Rfam family "Bacterial small subunit ribosomal RNA", at positions 30 to 526 of the family's 1533-position model. The record is from RNAcentral.